GAUAAAGAAAAUUUUUCUUUUUGUUGUUUUUAAUAAUCCUUUGCUUUCUUUCUCUUUGACAAACUAGUAGAGGCAUCUCCACCACUUCUAAUCCCAACACAGAAGGACGCCAAAAAAGGGUGUUGCGCAGAUAGGCUUUUGAAGGUUUGGACAAAGAAGAAAAAUUCUCAACAGAGGGAGGCUCAAGAAGAUGAUUUGAUCUGAUAAGAGUUGAGUGGAAAUCCGCAAAAGAAGAAAGUUUUGUACUUUUCCUAUAUCAAGCACGUGUGAAUAGUGAAUAGAGAGGUGAAUAUUGAAGCUGGCAAAAUAAUGGAGUCAGAUCUUCAGCAACAGCCGCAGAUAAAUUCUUCAGGUUUGACACGGUACCGAUCAGCACCAAGUUCGUAUUUUACAGAUAUCAUUGACCGAGAGUUCUACGAGCACAUUUUUAAUCGCCCAUCGAGCCCUGAAACAGAGCGAGUUUUCUCACGCUUUAUGAAUAGUCUAGGUAGUGAUGGUGCAGCAGCUGAAGAAGAUUCACUCACUCAAAAACUCUCACCACCUGAUUCUGCAGUGAAGGAAGAGAUUAACCAGCAGGGUGAGGCUAUGCCCUCCAUCAACAGUGACCACAUGAUUCUUCAGCAGAACAAUAUCAAUAAUUUUUACCAAAGUUCAUCGAGACCACCUUUGCCAAAUCAAAGCCUUCCCGCAAAUAUUGAAGGAACGUAUUCAAUGGGAGUUAAUCGGUUGCCGGAGAUGAAGGUUGGUGGUGGAACUGGAAAUAAUUCUAAUCUUAUUAGGCAUAGUAGUUCACCAGCAGGACUAUUUUCCCAAAUCAACAUUGAAAAUGGCUAUGCUGGUAUGAGUGGCAUGGGAACUUUAGGAGCUGUUAAUAACCCUAUUGAAGAAUCAAAAUUUUCUACUGCAAAGAGGUUGAAGAACCCACCAAACUACUCAUCAGGGAGAAUGUCUUCAAUAGCUGACAUUGGGGACAAAUUAGGCAAUGGAGAAAAUAAUCAAGACAGUGAAGCUUUUGCUGAAAGCCAUGGUAACGAUUUUAUGACAGGUUUCUCGGUUGAUCCCUGGGAUGAUUCUCCGGUGAUGUCUGACAAUGUUAGCGGUCUAAAAAGAUUUAGAGAUAAUGAUGCAAAACCAUUUUCUGGUUUAAAUGCAGCCGAGACUCAGAAUGAAACUGGUGGACAGUCUCAUGCUCCUUUGGUUCAUCAGUUGAGUUUGCCAAAUACUUCAGCUGAAAUGGCAGCCAUUGAGAAGUUUCUGCAGUUCCCAGAUUCUGUUCCGUGCAAAAUUCGUGCCAAGCGGGGCUGUGCCACUCACCCAAGAAGCAUUGCAGAGAGGGUUAGAAGAACUAAAAUUAGUGAGCGUAUGAGGAAACUACAAGAUCUCGUCCCAAACAUGGACAAGCAAACAAACACAGCCGACAUGUUGGACUUGGCUGUGGAUUAUAUCAAAGACCUUCAAAAGCAAGUUCAGACGCUUUCGGAUUGUCAAUCUAAGUGUACGUGUUCACAAAAGCUGGAACAAUAACAGAAAAGAGGGAGAUACAAGAGUCUUUGUACAGAUUUGUAAUAGUUUGGUUACGAAGCAAGAAUCUAGAAUAGCUUUUCUCUGUUUCUGCACUUACAAUGGUUAAUUUAUGGGUUAUGUUUAUCUUAUUUUACAUGAGAUAAACAACUCUCCUACACAAAAAGAGUUGGGUCCCACCACUCUCUUUUUUCUCUCCUCUUAACCGCAGGUCUUUUAAUUUAUAUGCCACUUCUUCAACGGGAGGUGCAGGAGAAAAUUCCUUUAUAAAAGUUGACUUUUUAUGCACAUGAGCAACUAUUUAUGUACAAAAUUUCAAGGCCCCAUUUUAGGGGACGAAAAUAUUGCGGUGUGUUGGAUAAAGCCAAUUCGGUGGUUAUCUUUUCCAUUUUUGGGUUCAUUAUCUCAAGUCAUUUAUGAAUGGCUCUGCGUUGUUGUGAAGAUUGUUGUUUUGGAUGCUAUCCAUCCCCAAUAUGAAUUCACUAACUCUAAUGAAUAAUAACUUCAAUGACGUGGAUCCGAAUUGCAACAGAGAGUACACGUUAGCUUAACUUGUAGAACUAGUACUUUGAGACUCCAUGUGCUUUUAAGAGAGAAAGUUAUGAUAGAACACAGCUGGAGGCAAUGGACAGAACGAGUCAGAAUAUCCAUAUUGGGCCAACUGUGGGGUCCAAAACCAUUUAAGUGAAGGCCAUGUCACAGAUGAUGUCAGAAUGCAGCAAAAGUUACCCUAAAACGUCAAAUAAAUGUGGGAUCGUUGUCCAAGGUAGGAGAAUUUCUUCGCUACUAUUAUUGUAUUGAAU
Gastrolobium bilobum is the source of this 2324-nucleotide RNA transcript. It is a transcript of the gene named transcription factor bHLH130-like, with no coding region annotated. NCBI's taxonomy places the organism in Eukaryota, Viridiplantae, Streptophyta, Magnoliopsida, Fabales, Fabaceae. The record is from RefSeq and is a predicted model, not a curated record. The transcript has 9 exons.